Molecule: ribosomal RNA, 279 nt
Filed under: uncultured bacterium
Lineage: Bacteria
Description: partial 16S ribosomal RNA
Rfam family: Bacterial small subunit ribosomal RNA
Source: RNAcentral
UGCCAGCCGCCGCGGUAAUACGGAGCGUGCGAGCGUUAUUCGGAAUCACUGGGUUUAAAGGGUGUCUAGGCUGCCACAUAAGUCAGAGGUGAAAGUCGGUUGCUCAACAAUCGAAUUGCCUUUGAAACUGUGUGGCUCGAAUAUAGAUGAGGUAGGCGGAAUGUGUAGUGUAGCGGUGAAAUGCAUAGAUAUUACACAGAACACCAAUUGCGAAGGCAGCUUACCAAACUAUUAUUGACGCUGAAGCACGAAAGCGUGGGUAGCGAACAGGAUUAGAUA